GCCCAUUUGAAAGGAAAAUGAGAGAGUAAGGGAGCAGUUUCAUACCAAAACGUGUUCAGAUCACCAAGCCUCUCACUCUUCAACCUUGGCCUGAGAAACCUUCAUCCGCCGCGUCGGGAUUCGCCUCUGGCAGCGGCGGAGGGCCAAACCCUACAAAACCUACAUCUCUGAACUCGUCUCAAUGUCCUCUAUUAGAAUCCAUUCUCAAUUUCAUCUAAUUCCUAACCAAACAACCAAACCAAAAUGAAAUGCUCAAGAACCCUAAAACCUAAAUCAUAAAUUAAAUUCUCAAAUGGAGGAGUCAAAGCCUCUAGUAUUAGGCCUUUUAUUCCUCAGCUCAAACCCUACAUAGCGGUAACGAAUUAAGGGUGAAAUGAAUAAGAAACACUUACCUUCGAAGAUAAGGAAUUCCGGUAAUGUUUGCAACAUAAUUGAUGGAUAAAGAUUGAAGAUGCUCAGAAUGAGAGGAUUGAGCAAAGGCCUUCAAGAUGCUACUCAUGUGACUUGAAUUUUAAGAAACAUAAAUCAUUGACAACAUCAAAUAUCAAGAGGAAAAUGAAGGCUUUGAGGACUCAAGCAAAUAUAUGACUUGCGGGAAAAGUAGAAUAAGAAUUAAGGUUAGGAUAGCUAGAAUUUAGUCAGUUGACUGUAGUCAACUAGUUGACCAAAAGUCAGCAUAAGCCAAAAAUGUGUUUUUUUAAUAGAAUAGGAUUUUUUGUAAGGAUUUUGUGAUGUAAUGCUUGGAGGGUUUUUGAAAUGAAGAUGGGUUUAUGAA
Molecule: long non-coding RNA, 775 nt
Organism: Lathyrus oleraceus (garden pea)
Lineage: Eukaryota; Viridiplantae; Streptophyta; Magnoliopsida; Fabales; Fabaceae
Exons: 2
Source: RefSeq, a predicted model, not a curated record